RNAcentral lists this transfer RNA (73 nucleotides) under Diaphorina citri (Asian citrus psyllid). It matches the Rfam family "tRNA". Rfam says of the family: Transfer RNA (tRNA) molecules are approximately 80 nucleotides in length. Their secondary structure includes four short double-helical elements and three loops (D, anti-codon, and T loops). The record is from Rfam by way of RNAcentral. Lineage: Eukaryota; Metazoa; Arthropoda; Insecta; Hemiptera; Psyllidae.
GCCUCCGUGGCCGAGUGGGUAUAACACUAGGCUUGCACUCCGGGGAACCCGGGUUCGAUUCCCGGCGUGGUCG